CAAAACUUUCAACAACGUAUCUCUUGGCUCUUGCAUCGAUGAAGAACGCAGCGAAAUGCGAUAAGUAAUGUGAAUUGCAGAAUUCAGUGAAUCAUCGAAUCUUUGAACGCACAUUCGCGCCCGCCAGUAUUCUGGCGGGCAAUGCCUGUCCGAGCGUC
RNAcentral lists this ribosomal RNA (158 nucleotides) under Tolypocladium nubicola. RNAcentral describes it as "5.8S rRNA". It matches the Rfam family "5.8S ribosomal RNA". Rfam says of the family: 5.8S ribosomal RNA (5.8S rRNA) is a component of the large subunit of the eukaryotic ribosome. It is transcribed by RNA polymerase I as part of the 45S precursor that also contains 18S and 28S rRNA. The record is from RNAcentral. Lineage: Eukaryota; Fungi; Ascomycota; Sordariomycetes; Hypocreales; Ophiocordycipitaceae.